UACAGAGGGGGCAAGCGUUGUUCGGAAUUACUGGGCGUAAAGGGCGCGUAGGCGGCCCGCUAAGUCGAACGUGAAAUCCCCGAGCUCAACUCGGGAACUGCGUCCGAUACUGGCGGGCUUGAAUCCGGGAGAGGGAUGCGGAAUUCCUGGUGUAGCGGUGAAAUGACGCAGAUAUCAGGAGGAACACCGGUGGCGAAGGCGGGUCUCUGGGCAAUAACUGACGCUGAGGAGCGAAAGCGUGGGGAGCGAACAGG
RNAcentral lists this ribosomal RNA (254 nucleotides) under uncultured bacterium. Its description in RNAcentral is "partial 16S ribosomal RNA". It matches the Rfam family "Bacterial small subunit ribosomal RNA", at positions 524 to 776 of the family's 1533-position model. The record is from RNAcentral.